This 369-nucleotide ribosomal RNA is filed under the name uncultured bacterium. RNAcentral's name for it is "bacterial SSU rRNA". It matches the Rfam family "Bacterial small subunit ribosomal RNA", at positions 527 to 896 of the family's 1533-position model. The record is from RNAcentral.
GAAGGGGGCUAGCGUUGCUCGGAAUUACUGGGCGUAAAGGGAGCGUAGGCGGACAUUUAAGUCAGAGGUGAAAUCCCGGAGCUUAACUUCGGAACUGCCUUUGAUACUGGGUGUCUUGAGUGUGAGAGAGGUAUGUGGAACUCCGAGUGUAGAGGUGAAAUUCGUAGAUAUUCGGAAGAACACCAGUGGCGAAGGCGACAUACUGGCUCAUUACUGACGCUGAGGCUCGAAAGCGUGGGGAGCAAACAGGAUUAGAUACCCUGGUAGUCCACGCCGUAAACGAUGAUUGCUAGCUGUCGGGAAGCUUGCUUCUCGGUGACGCAGCUAACGCAUUAAGCAAUCCGCCUGGGGAGUACGGUCGCAAGAUUA